Molecule: unclassified non-coding RNA, 211 nt
Filed under: plant metagenome
Description: partial contains small subunit ribosomal RNA, internal transcribed spacer 1, and 5.8S ribosomal RNA
Source: RNAcentral
UUUCCGUAGGUGAACCUGCGGAAGGAUCAUUCAUAAUAAAGUGUUUUAUGGCACUUUUUAAAAAUCCAUAUCCACCUUGUGUGCAAUGUUAGAUCUCGUCAAUCUUGGCGAGAUUUUUAUACAUCAACUCAUUCUUUAACUAAUUUGUCUGAAAAGUAUUAUGAAUACUUAAUUCAAAAUACAACUUUCAACAACGGAUCUCUUGGCUCUC